AUGAAGUUGGUUCAGGUUCACCCUGCUCAGUUUCUCUUUAACAAUCUUCCUGAGACGGCAGAUCCGGAGGAUAUGGUGUGUUUCCUAAUGGAAUUUGGUGGGCAAGCGCUGACGAUCGCAAAGCUACAUCGACUCAUAAAGGUUAUCAAGUUUGAGCCCGAGCACGACGUCCGUGCGCGUUUGCAGAGCAUCGGCAGAUUCGCCAUCUUUGUCGGCCAUGCCAGGUGCUUAGCCGUCGAUGCCGACAAGUUCCCGUCCGUCGAAGCGAACUGCGUCUACUACAUUGAACGCUUGGGCUCGUCUGCCCACAUGUGCAAGUACAGCCUCCAGGAUGAGAAAGAUGAGAGGGUCUCUGACGCUGUAGAUUUUGUGAAGCAUAACAAGCAGUUUGUCCUUGCCGCUGACCGUCCUUUCACGAUCAUCCAUCUUAUCGCGAGCUAUACCAUCAACGUCCGGGAUUCUGAACUAGCCUCGCAACAAAUA
This 483-nucleotide ribosomal RNA is filed under the name Triticum aestivum (bread wheat). Its description in RNAcentral is "partial small subunit ribosomal RNA". The record is from RNAcentral. Lineage: Eukaryota; Viridiplantae; Streptophyta; Magnoliopsida; Poales; Poaceae.